CCCGGGCCUUGUACACACCGCCCGUCACGUCAUGGAAGUCGGCAACACCUGAAGUCGGUGACCUAACCGCAAGGAAGGAACUGCCGAAGGUGGGGCUGGUAACUGGGACG
Molecule: ribosomal RNA, 110 nt
Filed under: uncultured bacterium
Lineage: Bacteria
Description: partial 16S ribosomal RNA
Rfam family: Bacterial small subunit ribosomal RNA
Source: RNAcentral